Molecule: ribosomal RNA, 443 nt
Filed under: uncultured bacterium
Lineage: Bacteria
Description: partial 16S ribosomal RNA
Rfam family: Bacterial small subunit ribosomal RNA
Source: RNAcentral
CCUACGGGUGGCUGCAGUGGGGAAUAUUGGACAAUGGGGGGAACCCUGAUCCAGCGACGCCGCGUGAGUGAAGAAGUAUUUCGGUAUGUAAAGCUCUAUCUGCAGGGAAGAAAGAAAUGACGGUACCUGACUAAGACGCCCCGGCUAACUACGUGCCAGCAGCCGCGGUAAUACGUAGGGGGCAAGCGUUAUUCGGAUUUACUGGGUGUAAAGGGAGCGUAGACGGCGAUGCAAGUAUGAAGGGAAAGGCGGGGGCCCAACCCCUGGACUGCUUUGGAAACUGGAGGGCUGGAGUGCAGGAGAGGUAAGUGGAAUUCGUAGUGUAGCGGUGAAAUGCGUAGAUAUUAGGAGGAACACCAGUGGCGAAGGCAGCUUGCUGGACUGUAACUGACGUUGAGGCUCGAAAGCGUGGGGAGCAAACAGGAUUAGAUACCCUAGUAGUC